This 279-nucleotide ribosomal RNA is filed under the name uncultured bacterium. RNAcentral's name for it is "partial 16S ribosomal RNA". It matches the Rfam family "Bacterial small subunit ribosomal RNA", at positions 506 to 784 of the family's 1533-position model. The record is from RNAcentral.
UGCCAGCCGCCGCGGUAAUACAGAGGUGGCAAGCGUUGUUCGGUAUCACUGGGCUUAAAGGGCGCGUAGGCGGCGCAGAACGGUCCGGGUGAAAUCCCACGGCUUAACCGUGGAAUGGCCUGGGCUACGGCUGUGCUAGACAGCAUCAGGGGAAGGUGGAACUCCGGGUGGAGCGGUGAAAUGCGUAGAUAUCCGGAGGAACGCCGGUGGCGAAAGCGACCUUCUGGGGUGCUUGUGACGCUGAGGCGCGAAAGCUAGGGGAGCGAACGGGAUUAGAUA